This 357-nucleotide RNase P RNA is filed under the name Microbacterium sp. SA39. RNAcentral's name for it is "Bacterial RNase P class A". It matches the Rfam family "Bacterial RNase P class A". From Rfam's summary of the family: Ribonuclease P (RNase P) is a ubiquitous endoribonuclease, found in archaea, bacteria and eukarya as well as chloroplasts and mitochondria. Its best characterised activity is the generation of mature 5'-ends of tRNAs by cleaving the 5'-leader elements of precursor-tRNAs. Lineage: Bacteria; Bacillati; Actinomycetota; Actinomycetes; Micrococcales; Microbacteriaceae. The record is from Rfam by way of RNAcentral.
UGGGUCGACUGGACGGCCGCGUGGCGGGAAACCGCACCGAGGAACGUCCGGGCUCCACAGGGCAGGGCGGUGGGUAACACCCACCCGGAGUGAUCCGCGAGAAAGUGCCACAGAGAGCAGACCGCCCCGCAAGGGGUAAGGGUGAAAGGGUGGUGUAAGAGACCACCGGGGGUCAUGGUGACAUGACCCGCCAGGUAAACCUCGCCCGGAGCAAGGUCAGACAGAGGAUGUUGACGCGGCCCGCCGAGUCCUCGGGUAGACCGCUAGAGUGCCACGGCAACGUGUCGCCGAGAGAGAUGGCCGUCGAAGGGGCGAAGAACCCCGGAACAGAACCCGGCGUACAGGUCGGCCCAUUCG